CCUACGGGAGGCAGCAGUGGGGAAUAUUGCACAAUGGGCGCAAGCCUGAUGCAGCCAUGCCGCGUGUGUGAAGAAGGCCUUCGGGUUGUAAAGCACUUUCAGCGGGGAGGAAGGCGGUGAGGUUAAUACCCUUACUCAUUGACGUUACCCGCAGAAGAAGCACCGGCUAACUCCGUGCCAGCAGCCGCGGUAAUACGGAGGGUGCAAGCGUUAAUCGGAAUUACUGGGCGUAAAGCGCACGCAGGCGGUUUGUUAAGUCAGAUGUGAAAUCCCCGGGCUCAACCUGGGAACUGCAUCUGAAACUGGCAGGCUUGAGUCUCGUAGAGGGGGGUAGAAUUCCAGGUGUAGCGGUGAAAUGCGUAGAGAUCUGGAGGAAUACCGGUGGCGAAGGCGGCCCCCUGGACGAAGACUGACGCUCAGGUGCGAAAGCGUGGGGAGCAAACAGGAUUAGAUACCCGGGUAGUC
This 465-nucleotide ribosomal RNA is filed under the name uncultured bacterium. RNAcentral describes it as "partial 16S ribosomal RNA". It matches the Rfam family "Bacterial small subunit ribosomal RNA", at positions 338 to 795 of the family's 1533-position model. The record is from RNAcentral.